CCUCGGUUUGCCUUGAGCCAAAACAAAUCCGCAAUGGAUCCAAUAAGUCCAAUAAUUUCAAGUCUUGAGAGGAUAGUUAAUAGACAUCCCCCGCAAGAAGGGAGUUCCUCGUCAAGCGGUCGCUCUGUCGAAGAGUCAAGGUACAAAGUCAUUCAGUAAGCGGCCUUCUCUGAAAUGUCGACGAGCUAGAUAAUGGUCAUGCUUUUGAUAUUAUCUUGUUGAUGCAUCAUUUAAAUACGCC
This 241-nucleotide small RNA is filed under the name Cryptococcus neoformans H99. RNAcentral describes it as "Cryptococcus neoformans var. grubii H99 hypothetical RNA". The record is from RNAcentral. Lineage: Eukaryota; Fungi; Basidiomycota; Tremellomycetes; Tremellales; Cryptococcaceae.